Folsomia candida is the source of this 1315-nucleotide long non-coding RNA. RefSeq lists it as uncharacterized. The transcript is spliced from 3 exons. NCBI's taxonomy places the organism in Eukaryota, Metazoa, Arthropoda, Collembola, Entomobryomorpha, Isotomidae. The record is from RefSeq and is a predicted model, not a curated record.
GUCAAAGUCAGAAAGAGAUAAGGUGACGUCAGGAAACACUUAAUAAUUUAGAUACUUAGGAAGUAGGCUUCCUGUCCGGUUUGCUGUUUGUGGAACAUGUUUCUUAAUGUAUUAUGCAGAGCAAGUUCAGUUAACAAAUUUGUAACGGGAAAACGGUCGAAAAUUGUGGCAGGUUCAAGAGAUUAUCAAUUUUCAGGUAGAAAUUAUGUAGUAAUGAGAAACAGUUGAAAAUCGUAUCACUGUGAGUAAUGACCAGCCAUUGAGCCCCGGAUUUGCAUACCUACUCACUCAUUAACGUGGGGAAUAAUUGAAUAAACCGGAUUUGUUCGACCUUGGUUGAAUUUUAGGUAGGAGACACCACAACAUCAUCACAGUAACAACAGUGCAUGUGACUGACGUUUUUUUUCAGCAGUAAAACUUCACGUGAGAGUCGAUCUUGUAAAUUUUCAUUGUUGCAGAAUCAUAUAAAAAGUCUGGUAUUUUUCUGAUUUGUUGGAGAUUAAAGUCGGUAGGCGAAAAUUUCGUGCAAAAUAUAUACGUAGCCAUAAAAAUAUAGAAAUAUGUCGACUGAUAUUUUUCUCAGCUAGAACUUCAAAUAAAAUAUUAAAGUCGGUAGACGAAAAUUGCGUGCAAAACAUAUACGUAGCCAUAAAAUACAGAAAUAUGUCGACUAGUCGCAUCCUUCGCCCACCGUUCACUCUCGCCACUGCCCGGGAGAAAGUUUCUCUAGCCCAGAACCUGUGGAAUACUCGAAACCCGGAGAAAGUUGCGUUAGCUUACACUCCGAACUCCAGUUGGCGCAACCGGGACAAAUUCUUCACGGGGAGAGACGCCAUCGUGGCUUUCCUACGAGACAAGUGGACCCACGAGCUGGAUUACAAACUGGAAAAAUAUCUCUUUUCUUUCAACGACAACAAAAUUGCGGUCCACUUCCAGUACGAAUUUCAUAAUGGGAAGGGUCAAUGGUUUAGAACGUAUGGGAAUGAACACUGGACCUUCAAUGAGGAUGGUCUCAUGGAAAAAAGGGAUAUGAGUGCGAACGAUGUCGAGAUCAAGGAGAGUGAGAGACUUUUCAAAUAAGGGGAACGAUUGGGACGAUUUUGAUUGAAAAUUUUGGUUUUGGUUCACAAUUUUGGUUGAACAACUAAUUAAAUAGUUUGAAUUUCCCUAACCAUACACCACUUUGAAAUAUUUUCAUUAUUAUCAAUUCUAAAUUUACACAUAUUUUUAUAAUUUCCUAAAUAAAUUACUUAAUUGUGUAUGUUUCCUACAAAAUUUCGAAUAAAUCGAGUCAUCCUCUCAUUUGUAAAUCGUA